UACCAGCACCCCGAGUGGUCGGGACGUUUAUUGGGCCUAAAGCAUCCGUAGCCGGUUCUACAAGUCCUCCGUUAAAUCCACCUGCUUAACAGAUGGGCUGCGGAAGAUACUAUAGAGCUAGGAGGCGGGAGAGGCAAGCGGUACUCGAUGGGUAGGGGUAAAAUCCGUUGAUCCAUUGAAGACCACCAGUGGCGAAGGCGGCUUGCCAGAACGCGCUCGACGGUGAGGGAUGAAAGCUGGGGGAGCAAACCGG
This 253-nucleotide ribosomal RNA is filed under the name uncultured bacterium. Its description in RNAcentral is "partial 16S ribosomal RNA". It matches the Rfam family "Archaeal small subunit ribosomal RNA", at positions 474 to 727 of the family's 1478-position model. The record is from RNAcentral.